Long non-coding RNA from Drosophila willistoni, 927 nucleotides. RefSeq lists it as uncharacterized. The record is from RefSeq and is a predicted model, not a curated record. The transcript has 4 exons. Lineage: Eukaryota; Metazoa; Arthropoda; Insecta; Diptera; Drosophilidae.
GUAUGUAUGUAUGUACAUAUAUAGAGAUAGGCAUGCUGUUCGUAUCAGUUAGUCCGAUAAGCAUUAACAUCUGUUAAGCAAGAAGUACCUACCUACUCAUACAGACAUAUACCUCGGUCAGUGGAACAACAGCAACAACAGUUCACAGUUAUAUGUACAUACUACGUAGGAACAAUUGAUCUAUCUAUAUAGCCCGUCAAGGCAAUAAUGUGCAGAAUUUCUGACUAAUUGUAAGGCGAAUGGAAAACCACAACAGAGCAUGAGAGACAGAGAGAGAGAGAGAGAGGUUGAGGCAACUGGAGCAAAUGGAUGUCGUAUUUAAAAUUCAACGAAAUUUGCUGAUUCUGUGCAAAUCGAGCUUAUCGAGAGAUUUUUAUGUACAUAUGCAAACUCUAUAAGGAAAGUGAAUACUCAGAAUUGCCAAACUGAAAGUAAUCAGUAGAAAUUUGUUUUAUAUCAAUCAUCUGACCAAUGGACUUUCCAGCACAAAUACAAAUAAAACUCAGUCGAGAUAGAGUCAGUCUGAGGGGUACUUAUAGUACUCUACACUUUUUCGUCAGCAAGUCAGCGAGAUAAAGCUACGAGGUAAACGAGAGACGGAUGUGAAAGACAAAGAUAGAGCGAGAAAGAGAGAGAGAGAGAGCAAGGUAUAUAUAGAAUUCUGGACAUAAAACUGGGCAGCUGGAUAUGAUAAGCCCUUGCAGGUACCUUACCUUACCUUACCUUAACUCACCUGUGGUUCGAUAAGAGACACUAAAUAACUGGAGCCAGUUAUCGUCAGUUGUCGGCCGUCUGAUGGGUGGGUGAACCUUGAGAUGUCUUCUGGAAAUAACGGCCAAAACGGGGACAGAGAAUACAGAGAACUCUGAGAUAAGUGCUUGGGUGUUUAUUUGGUUUUUAAUAAACUUUGGAUUUAAGAUUCAAUGA